GUUUAUAUAUAUAUUAAAUUGGAGUGAUUUGUUUUGACAUCCACCGCCUGCCGUUUUUGUUUUUAUCUUUUGAUCUUUUUUUUUUUUUUUGUUUAAUGUAUUACAUGAGCUCUUAACGAUGUUGUAAAUCACCGACUCAGUGGUUCUAUGCCAACCUUGCUUUACAUGUCUGCUAAUGUAAAUUGAACACUCUCUUACAUCUCACCAAUAAAUAUGAAAAGAGAUUAGAUCUGACAUCUGACCAUAAAAUUGCAGUAAACGUAAAUAAUAUAUGAUUUGAUUGAAAUUCAAACACACGGACUUUUUUUUUAUUGAUUCAAUGCUUCUCUUGCAGCUUUGUUGGCCGUCGUGAAUUGUGUGGUGAGCAAAUCGAAGAGUGCACGAAGGACAAUAUGAUCGAGUUUGCCGUUAGAGUAUUAUCCGGAAGCUUGGUAUUGCAAGUGUGGCAACAAGCUCUUCAUGCCUAAGCUGUAUCAAAAUUUUAUUCCUAGUUUUGUUUCACUUUGAAGCUCCUUUGUAUUUAGGUG
This 527-nucleotide long non-coding RNA is filed under the name Olea europaea subsp. europaea. The record is from RNAcentral. Lineage: Eukaryota; Viridiplantae; Streptophyta; Magnoliopsida; Lamiales; Oleaceae.